Molecule: ribosomal RNA, 460 nt
Filed under: uncultured bacterium
Lineage: Bacteria
Description: partial 16S ribosomal RNA
Rfam family: Bacterial small subunit ribosomal RNA
Source: RNAcentral
CCUACGGGAGGCAGCAGUGAGGAAUAUUGGGCAAUGGGCGCAAGCCUGAACCAUCAAAGUAGCGUGAAGGAUGAAGGCCCUCCGGUUUGUAAACUUCUUUUAUAGAGAAAUAGAGAGAGGCACGUGUGCCUGUUUGAGUCUCCUUUAUGAAUACGCAACGCCUAGCUCCUAGACAGCAGCCGCGUGAAUACGGCGGAUCCGAGCGUUAUCCGGAUGUUGUGGGUUUAAAGGGAGCGUAGAUGGGAUUGUAAGUCAGAUGUGAAAGUUUGCGGAUCAACCGUAGUAGUGAAAUUGAUACUGGAAGUCUUGAGUACAGUUGAGGUAGGCGGAAUUCGUAGUGUAGCGGUGAAAUGCUUAGAUAUCAGGAAGAACUCCGAUUGCGAAGGCAGCUUACUAAACAGCCACUGACGUUGAUGCUCGAAAGUGUGGGUAGCAAACAGGAUUAGAUACCCGUGUAGUC